ACGAGAGUUCUCUUUGAAGCCUAAAAGUUCCUGUGGUGGUCUGUCUUGAAGGUACCAAUGUUGACCAAGGAAAGAGAAUUUUGAAGAUGGUCUUGCAGGAAAGUGGGAUAACAUUAAUUACGGCAGAAGAUUUGGAUGUUGUUGAAGAGAAAGCAGUUAAGGCAGCCAACAAAUAAGAACAUUAGGAUACGAGUACUUUGUUCUUAUUGUUUCUCAUCUUUCACAACAUUGAUGAGUUUUUCCUUUUAAUCGAGGCCAUAAUCCCUUGCAAAUUUGAUAUAUUUGCCGCAUUUGCUCUAGAUAGUUGAUACAACCUCUUUAUUUGAU
This is a long non-coding RNA of Gossypium arboreum, 327 nucleotides long. RefSeq lists it as uncharacterized. The record is from RefSeq and is a predicted model, not a curated record. NCBI's taxonomy places the organism in Eukaryota, Viridiplantae, Streptophyta, Magnoliopsida, Malvales, Malvaceae. The transcript has 3 exons.